CACGCAGGCGGUUUUUUAAGUCAGAUGUGAAAGGUACCGGCUCAACCGGUGACAUGCAUUUGAAACUGAAAGACUUGAGUAUUGGAGAGGCAAGUGGAAUUCCUAGUGUAGCGGUGAAAUGCGUAGAUAUUAGGAGGAACACCGGUGGCGAAGGCGGCUUGCUGGACAAAUACUGACGCUGAGGUGCGAAAGCGUGGGAGCAAACA
Molecule: ribosomal RNA, 206 nt
Filed under: uncultured bacterium
Lineage: Bacteria
Description: partial 16S ribosomal RNA
Rfam family: Bacterial small subunit ribosomal RNA
Source: RNAcentral